UACGAAGGGAGCUAGCGUUGUUCGGAAUCACUGGGCGUAAAGCGCACGUAGGCGGAUGUGUCAGUCAGGGGUGAAAUCCCGGAGCUCAACUUCGGAACUGCCUUUGAUACAGCACAUCUGGAGUCCGGAAGAGGUGAGUGGAAUUCCUAGUGUAGAGGUGAAAUUCGUAGAUAUUAGGAAGAACACCAGUGGCGAAGGCGGCUCACUGGUCCGGUACUGACGCUGAGGUGCGAAAGCGUGGGGAGCAAACAGG
This 253-nucleotide ribosomal RNA is filed under the name uncultured bacterium. Its description in RNAcentral is "partial 16S ribosomal RNA". It matches the Rfam family "Bacterial small subunit ribosomal RNA", at positions 524 to 776 of the family's 1533-position model. The record is from RNAcentral.